GGCUGGCCCCAGUGCAGUGGUUUUUGUACCAAUCGAUCAUAACCAGUUAGAUUUCUUUGUUCUUAUCCCAGUCCACUACUUCACUGGACUAGGCAAAC
Molecule: unclassified non-coding RNA, 98 nt
Organism: Otolemur garnettii (small-eared galago)
Lineage: Eukaryota; Metazoa; Chordata; Mammalia; Primates; Galagidae
Rfam family: Y RNA
About the family: Y RNAs are components of the Ro ribonucleoprotein particle (Ro RNP), in association with Ro60 and La proteins. The Y RNAs and Ro60 and La proteins are well conserved, but the function of the Ro RNP is not known.
Source: Ensembl